UUUUGUUUACUCCGUUGUCUGCUGAUGCAUGGAGCACAUUUUGGCACCAGUCUGGGCUGCAUGUGAAGUCUGUAGACAUAGAGAGGCUCCUCACCUCUUGGUGGAGAGACCUGUGGCAAACUUUGUGUUUAGGAGGAUUAUCAGGGCAGGCCUGGGAUGGUCCUAUGAGGUGAAUUGGAGCGUUUCUUCUACAGAUAGGAGGGAAAUAGGACUGCCAGGGCCGUCCAGGGGACUGUGACCAAAGCACCGCUGGCCUAUGAUUCUGUGUCUCUCUCUUCUCUCCUGGCUCUGACCCUCAGAGCAGCUCCCCCUGGGGGUCGGAGGCCGGUGGCGGUUCCAGCCUCGUCUGUUUCCUCUGGCAGCUGUGUGGAACAUCAGCUGACCAGGCUCUUUCCUGGAAUGUGUUGCAAGCCUAGCAUUUCCUCUUGCACGUCAGCUGCCAGCCCAGUGCUGAUGAACCAAUGACUCGGUUUCCCUGUUGCGAUGGCUGUGUCUCAUAGAGGCCCAUUGCCGCAACCUGCAGGCUGUGGGACGUGGCCUGGGCACCUGUGAGCCCAUCCACUUCAGCUGUGUUCAGUGGGACUGGGAGGGGAGGCUGCCGGAGGCCGCAGGGUGCUGUGGCCCGCAGGGGCCAAGGGCAAAGCAAUCAGUGAGGCCAGGGAGAGCUGGGCUGGGACCCUGAGCCCCUCCAAUCGCUCCCAGUGGCCUCUCCCACCCCGCAAGCCCUGCAGUGCCCCUCCUGGGCGUCCAGCUGCCGCCCUCCCCACUCCCCGGUCUUGCUGGUUCUCAAGACGGGGAGAAGAGAGCAAAGUCAGGAUGCGGAAAUGGAGUGGCUGGGGCACCCAGGACUGGUCAAGGUGGGACACAAAUACUGACUGCCAUUUAGAGAAGAAUAUGUGCAAUAUACACAAGUUUGAACGCAUGCACAUACACACACACAUGUGGCCACGUGUUCACACAUGCACUUCUAUGCACACAGACUUGCAUACGCAUGUGCACAUGCAUGUGCGCGUGCACACACACACAGACACACACACACUCAUCUGGUUUCCCAAAAGGUCUCUUCAGGAGCGAGUUCCUCGGGCUGGGAGACAGCUGGCGGUGUUGAGACUGAAGUCUGCUUCUGCUCACAGGGAGGUGGGCAGGACCCGUGGUGCCCUGUGAGCACAGAGGGCGUGGGCCCGUCUGCAGCUCUGCGGCUCACUGCGACUCUGGGUGAGCCCUGCAGUCCAGAGCAACACACAGCGGGUGUGCAAGACACAUUCGUGCACAUUGGCCCUAUUUCAUAGCCAUGCUACUCUCUGAAAGUUUUGAAGCAACUUAGAAUAAUAAUGAACAAAGCCAGGCUUGGUGCCUACUACUAAGCCUAUAAUUUGAGCACUCUGGGAGGCUGAGUCAAGAGGACCACAAGUUCUAGCCCAGUCUGAGAAACUUAGCAAGAUCCUGUCUCCAAAAUAAAAAGGGGUGGGGAUGUACAGAUGUAGCUCAGGUAAAGGCCCUGGGCUCACUCUGCAGUACUGAAAAGAAAAUUAAACAAAACAACAAAAAGGUGCAUCAGUGAUAUGAGAGGAACACAACGAUGAUGGACAUAUAAAGUUAAAAGGUGAAAUCAGCACUUGAACUCUGAUGUGGCCAGGGAGAUCGCAUUUCACCCUGGAGAGAUGAAGCCCUCCAUGCUGGUGAGGGAGAUACUGCCCUGGGCCUGACCCCGAGGACACACUGGGCAGAGCCGGGUGGCCUCGGCCUCCCUCAGGGGCAGACAAGGGCCCACAGGACAGCUUCAGGGACAGCAGCACCUAAGUUUGACCCUGGUAAGCUCAGGACUGCCCUUCUGGAGCACCCAGGUUAUCUUUGAUUCUUUUCAUCCUAACAAACGAGCAGGACACAGGGGAGGCAGAGGGAGGACAGUGCACUGUGAACAGCCUUACACCGGGCUGCCUGGGCUCGAAUUCGGCCCCAUCAGAAUUGCUCUGCCAGUGCACAGUUACUUAGUUUCUGCACUUCAGUUUCCUAACUGGUAGAAGUGUGUCAGCAUGCUAGCCUCAGGGUUCUCUGAGGAUGAAUCGCGUUGGGAGGCAUGUGUAGUGUGGAGCGGCACUUGGCAUGCAGGGAGGACUGGCGAGCAGUGGCUGUCGGGAGGGCGUGGGCCCCCGAGUGUGCAGUUCUUGUGGUGCUGGGCUCUGCACUUUCCAGCCUGUGGCCCUCAGGAAGGUGUCCCCUCUCCCCUCUCCCCUCAGGAUUUGGGGCGGUGACUCACUCAGCCAGGGCAGAAUUUCCACAAGUGCAGCCGGGGUCCUGUGAUCAGGGUUGAGCAAGGUGUGUGUGUGCGUGCAUGUGGGUGUGUGUGCAUGUGUGUUUCUUGUGCCUUUUAUUGCUUUGCUUGAGGAAGGCAGAUUCUUGGUGGCAUCCAAUCACAACCUCACUUUACAGCUGUGUGAUGCUGACAGGCACAUGUCGCCCACCUUAUCUGUGUGACCUAGAAGCUUGAACCACAUUCAGUUGGGGUUGAGGCGGAAAGCGAAGCAGUGGGUCCUCCACAGCAGGUGGGCAGCUGAGCUCGGGAAGGACAUCAGACACCAGACUGCAGUCUCUGGUCCGAGGUUCACAGUGCCACUCCUGACUGGGCUGCCUCCUGGGGACUGGGAAAAUCAUGGGCACCACAGGCCCUCAGGGCCCACCUAGCAGAGUCCCUGGGGUCUUCCAUGCACGCAAGGUGCUGGCCACCUUCAGGGGCUGUCGUGUGACGACCCAAGUGAGAGCUGGAGGGCGGAGAUGGCUGAAAUCUGAUCUAGAGAGCACCUCUGUCCAUGCAGCAGAGCCCAGCCUCCUGCUGACCCCGCCGGUCUGAUGGCUGGAGCAUGUGCUCCUUCUUCCAGGAGGGUGUGCAGCUGACUUUGGAAGACCGUGCUCUCGGCCUGGAGCCCGUGGUGCAGUGUCUGCCCUGGGCACGAAGAGGAAGGAGGAGAGUUCUCAGGGCUGAGGCCUGAGCUGAGCUGAGUGGGGAGUGGAGGAGGAAUGGGUGGAAAUGGGAGUGGCCCAAAGCACCGGAUCAGCACUGGGAGGGUUUGGCUGGAGUGAGGACAGCUGGGGGCCCCACACGAGCAGCUUUGACUUAAUUCUCUUGGAGGACAGGCCAAGGACUCGCCUCUGACCCUAUCCAUGGGCGCCUUUCACAGGCAGUGUCAGGGGCCAGGGCAGGGUGAGGGUCUGCAGCCGUGUGUGCAAAUGGGAGUGCAUGACACCCAGUGUGCAGGGCAACCAUGUCCUGAGCACCUUUUGCCCUUGCUGGUUCACGGCUCUCAGUCUUCCUGGCCCUGAGCAGGUGAUCUAGGGUUUACAUACGCUUGGAUUUUACAAGUCUACUCACAUCACACUGUGCCAUCUUGUCAGAAGGAGAAACUGAGGCAAAAGAUCCUGAAGAACCUGCGGGGAGGAGCUGCCCUCCAAUCUGAAACAAGACGCAGGGAACAGACUGCCCAGGCUCCUUUGUUCAGCAGUCUGCACCUGCAUUUGGUUCUUUCCCUCCAUAUCUUGGAAAGAGGGGAGAGAGAAGUUCUUUGGGCAACGGCCAUCUGGAGCACUUCUCACUGGGCACAGGUUUGGGGGGGGAUGGCAGGAGGCUGUUGCCCCAAUAUUCCUUAGACUGUGGGUGAAUGGAGAGCUAGAAGUAUGGAGAUUCAGCAGGUUAGGAUUGAUGUAGGGGCCGGGUGGCUCCAGCACUCUUGGAGCUCAAAGCAGGAAGAUCAUCAGUUCAAGGCCAGCCUGGGUAAUUUAGCAAUUUAGGAAGGCUCAGUCUCAAAAUAAAAAGAGGGCUGGGGAUGUAGCUCAGGGUGAAGGCCCCGGGUUCCACCCCCACUACCAAAACAACGGAAACAAAGGAAGAGAAGAAGGAAAAGAGAGCAUGAAGAGAGAGACAGAGAGACGGAGACAGAAAGAUGGAGACAGAGGGGAGAGAGAGAGACAGUGUGGUCCCCUCUUAACCCCUAGCUGUGUGGGAAAGAGACAGGAGGAGGAAGACUGCACAGGAGACAGGAGGGCGUGGCCUGAGCUGGAGCAGAGGGGCCGCUGGUGGCCUGGCGCUGAAACCCUACUGCUAAGCCGGGCCCUUCCACAGCCCUGCUGUGAGGGUGAGGAAGAGCACUGGCUGCGGUUGGUCCAGGACCCUCGGGGGAGCGCUUGUCCGCCCGCCCAUUACCCCGGCCCUGGGAGCCUCCUCUCUCCCCUGCCCAGAAGCUCUCUUGCUCUCUCUGUCCCCGGGCUUUGAGAAGGGCAGGGCGCCCCGCCCAGGAGGGGAAGUGAACAGCAGCCUCCGCCCUGGGUUCCCAGUGAGCGUGUGAGCGUGUGAACGUGUGUGAGUGUGUGUGUGUGUGUGUGUAGGCUCACGCAGAUCAGACACAGAGCGCAGAGUGGAGAGCUUCCCGGACCUUCACAGAGAGCUUGGCCCUUGAAGCUUGUCACAGCCGGCCCAGCUGAGCAGAGGCGCAGGAGCAGCCUGGGGUAAGUGACGUGCUGGGGACUGGGGCGAAGGCAAGGGGGCUCGGGCGGAGCUGGACGUGUAGCGAGCGGAGAGGGAAGGGGACCCCUGUGGCCCUCUGCCCACCCCCCUCGAUGCCCCAGCCCUAUAUCUCCGUCCCUGGGCCCUGCUACCUGCAGCCACGUGGGGGCUGGGAACCCCAAGUGCAGCCACUAAGCGGGACCCACACAGUCACCCGGUAGGGAGGCACCAUGGCCAGUGCUCACGCAGGGGACACUGAGGAAGCCAGAUUUCCCAGGCCCCCAGAACCAGAGUCGUGGCGCAAAAGUCCUGAUUCUGCUGUAGGUGUCCCCACAGCCAGAUCACAGAAGCUCGGGGGACACUCGGACCUUCAGGAGGCAGGAGGUGAUGCCUGGAAUGGAAGUUUCACUUGUCCGGCAGCCCAACCCCUCAUGUGGCGCAUUCUGGGGAGCAGAGGUGAUGCUGGGCUAUGGCUUCACAUCUCCAUGGACCCUCUGAGGCUGGUGGGACCCCUCGCUACCUACAGCCUGGGCUGGUGUUCCCCGAGGUCUUCUUUUUCUCACAAAAGAAGCCAGGAUAGGGCCUGGGAUUUAGCUCAGUGGUUCUGGCACCUGCCUCACAAGCGCAAGGUCCCGAGUUCGAUCCCUGGUAUCAAAGAAAGAAGCCGGCUUAGCUCACCUCCCUGCAUGUCUGUCCCCACGGCACGUGCUGUUCCUCUGGCGGCUGGAGUUACCUGGGGACUGGGGCUCACGCUUUCCAGGGUCUCAUAGUAGCAGGGGUCUGGCAGUAUGGCUGGAGCAGUCGGAUGUGAUGGCCGAGUGAGGAGACUCACUAACCACAGAUGGAGAAUGGCAGCACCCAAGCCUGACUCGGGACCAAGCUGAACCCUGUACCCAGCACCAGUGAGAACAUGAAGAACCUGGCACGUGAUAUCAGUCUUCUAGCACGAGGCCAGUGUGACCUCCGGGGUCAGCUGUGGAGACACAGAAGGGCGGCAGUGACUGAGCUGUGGCCACCGACCUCUUGCUCUUGCAGCAUCUGUUCUGUGUGCAGGACACACCCGCUCUUUUCCUUCAGAGCACCUUUUCUCCCUGAGCACUUCUGUGCUUCUCCCUUUAUUCCUGCCC
RNAcentral lists this long non-coding RNA (5622 nucleotides) under Heterocephalus glaber (naked mole-rat). RNAcentral describes it as "lncRNA (ENSHGLG00100038247.1)". The record is from RNAcentral. Lineage: Eukaryota; Metazoa; Chordata; Mammalia; Rodentia; Bathyergidae.